GGCGCGAAGCUACCGUGCGCUG
RNAcentral lists this small nuclear RNA (22 nucleotides) under Arabidopsis thaliana (thale cress). RNAcentral describes it as "snRNA_06240". The record is from RNAcentral. Lineage: Eukaryota; Viridiplantae; Streptophyta; Magnoliopsida; Brassicales; Brassicaceae.